This is an RNA transcript of Hippocampus comes (tiger tail seahorse), 1149 nucleotides long. RefSeq lists it as uncharacterized. The transcript is spliced from 7 exons. The record is from RefSeq and is a predicted model, not a curated record. NCBI's taxonomy places the organism in Eukaryota, Metazoa, Chordata, Actinopteri, Syngnathiformes, Syngnathidae.
AUUUCACGAUGACAACAACUGCUUUGUUUUUGGUAUGCACCUUUGAUGUGUCCUUGCAGUGCCCCCGCUGAAUCCCCUGUAGCACCGCGUGUGCCCGUCUUUGUGAUGGCUCACUGAAAGUGCAGCCCUUUUUCUUUCAACUCUUGAUGUUGUUCCGUGAGCUGUGCUUAAAUUCGGCAGCCAAGCCAGCUGGCUUCAUCACAUCGAAGAGUCAUUCGACCUGACCAGAAGAGUCAUUCCACCUGACCAGAGUGUAUCUCUUCUCCUCGUGACGGACCGCGGUAGCAGUCACCAUGUCGCCACUUCUGCUGAUGGCCUGCGUGCUCAGCUUGUUCGCGUCUUCGGUCAUGUGCAUUGAGAGUGACGGUUGGAAGACAUUCGGCACGGGUUGCUAUCGCUUCUUCGGCAUGCGCAAAACUUGGUCUGAGGCCGACAAAUACUGUGUCCAAGAGGGUGGUCACCUGUCCAGCUUCCACUCACACCCAGAGUUGGCGUUCUUGAAUGAAGGCCUGAGCGGUGGCUCCGCGAACACGUGGGUGGGAAUGAAAAUCCAGUGGUCCAGAUUUGGAAGCUUUUUGUGGUGGGAGAAAUCCCUUUCAUUUAGUGAUGGAAGCGCUGCGGACUACCUCGACUGGGACCCCAAGCCAUGGUACCAUGAAUGCGUUGUGGUGAGAGGAAACGGACGUUUCACCCACAUGGCUUGCGGCACAGCCCUGCCAUUCAUCUGUAAAAAAGCCGUGGCUCCCCUUGUCGUACCUGUACAUGUCCUGCGUGUACCUGUGAUAAGUGUUCUUGUCCCAAGAGGCCGUGUCCUACUUGUAGUUGUCCUGAGUGUCGUUGUGCUACUUGUGCCCCUCCUACCACCUGCCCUCCUGUUCCCCCUCUGCCCUGUCCGACUCAUCCUCCUAUGACUACCUGUCCCAGUCUUCCCACUUGUCCUCCCCCCAGCUGCCAGGUAAUGUCACACACUGGAGUGAAAACUCUUCUCUGACGCACGUGCCUGAUGACAUGGAAGGUCCGGGACUACUUCUUUUGGCGCCUCAUCCGGUUGAUCUUCGAGCUGGUCGCGGCCAACGACACUGCGCUGCAACUGGCCUUUCGCAUGCAAGACAAAAAGAUUCUUCUGACCGCCGACCUGAAUGGGACCAA